This 496-nucleotide ribosomal RNA is filed under the name uncultured bacterium. Its description in RNAcentral is "bacterial SSU rRNA". It matches the Rfam family "Bacterial small subunit ribosomal RNA", at positions 19 to 518 of the family's 1533-position model. The record is from RNAcentral.
CUGGCUCAGGAUGAACGCUGGCGGCGUGCCUAACACAUGCAAGUCGAGCGGAAAUACCAAAUGUACUCGUACAGGCGGUAUUUAGCGGCGGACGGGUGAGUAACACGUGAGCAACCUGCCUUUUGCUGGGGAAUAACAUUGGGAAACCAGUGCUAAUACCGCAUAACGUCCAUGGGGGACAUCCCUUGUGGACUAAAGGAGAAAUCCGGCAGAAGAUGGGCUCGCGUCCGAUUAGUUAGUUGGCGGGGUAACGGCCCACCAAGACCGCGAUCGGUAGCCGAACUGAGAGGUUGAUCGGCCACAUUGGGACUGAGACACGGCCCAGACUCCUACGGGAGGCAGCAGUGGGGAAUAUUGGGCAAUGGGGGAAACCCUGAACCCCAGCAACGCCGCGUGAAGGACGAAGGCCUUCGGGUUGUAAACUUCUUUGAUCAGGGACGAAAGCAAUGACGGUACCUGAAGAACAAGCCACGGCUAACUACGUGCCAGCCGCUGC